RNAcentral lists this ribosomal RNA (253 nucleotides) under uncultured bacterium. RNAcentral describes it as "partial 16S ribosomal RNA". It matches the Rfam family "Bacterial small subunit ribosomal RNA", at positions 524 to 776 of the family's 1533-position model. The record is from RNAcentral.
GACGAACCGUGCGAACGUUGUUCGGAAUCACUGGGCUUAAAGGGCGCGUAGGCGGGCUGUCAAGUCUGGGGUGAAAUGCCACGGCUCAACCGUGGAACUGCCUCAGAUACUGACGGCCUCGAGGAAGGUAGGGGCAUGCGGAACUGUAGGUGGAGCGGUGAAAUGCGUUGAUAUCUACAGGAACUCCGGUGGCGAAAGCGGCGUGCUGGACCUUUUCUGACGCUGAGGCGCGAAAGCCAGGGGAGCAAACGGG